RNAcentral lists this transfer RNA (72 nucleotides) under Ovis aries (sheep). It matches the Rfam family "tRNA". From Rfam's summary of the family: Transfer RNA (tRNA) molecules are approximately 80 nucleotides in length. The record is from Rfam by way of RNAcentral. Lineage: Eukaryota; Metazoa; Chordata; Mammalia; Artiodactyla; Bovidae.
UCCCUGGUGGCUCAGGUGGUAAAGAAUCUGCCUGCAAUGCUGGAGACCCGGGUUCGAUCCCUGGUUUGGGAA